UUGAAGAGUUUGAUCAUGGCUCAGAUUGAACGCUGGCGGCAGGCCUAACACAUGCAAGUCGAGCGGAAACGAGUUAUCUGAACCUUCGGGGAACGAUAGCGGCGUCGAGCGGCGGACGGGUGAGUAAUGCCUGGGAAUAUGCCUUGAUGUGGGGGAUAACCAUUGGAAACGAUGGCUAAUACCGCAUAAUGCCUUCGGGCCAAAGAGGGGGAUCUUCGGACCUCUCGCGUCAAGAUUAGCCCAGGUGGGAUUAGCUAGUUGGUGAGGUAAUGGCUCACCAAGGCGACGAUCCCUAGCUGGUCUGAGAGGAUGAUCAGCCACACUGGAACUGAGACACGGUCCAGACUCCUACGGGAGGCAGCAGUGGGGAAUAUUGCACAAUGGGCGCAAGCCUGAUGCAGCCAUGCCGCGUGUGUGAAGAAGGCCUUCGGGUUGUAAAGCACUUUCAGUCGUGAGGAAGGGGUAUACGUUAAUAGCGUAUGUCUUUGACGUUAGCGACAGAAGAAGCACCGGCUAACUCCGUGCCAGCAGCCGCGGUAAUACGGAGGGUGCGAGCGUUAAUCGGAAUUACUGGGCGUAAAGCGCAUGCAGGUGGUUCGUUAAGUCAGAUGUGAAAGCCCGGGGCUCAACCUCGGAACUGCAUUUGAAACUGGCGGACUAGAGUACUGUAGAGGGGGGUAGAAUUUCAGGUGUAGCGGUGAAAUGCGUAGAGAUCUGAAGGAAUACCGGUGGCGAAGGCGGCCCCCUGGACAGAUACUGACACUCAGAUGCGAAAGCGUGGGGAGCAAACAGGAUUAGAUACCCUGGUAGUCCACGCCGUAAACGAUGUCUACUUGGAGGUUGUUCCCUUGAGGAGUGGCUUUCGGAGCUAACGCGUUAAGUAGACCGCCUGGGGAGUACGGUCGCAAGAUUAAAACUCAAAUGAAUUGACGGGGGCCCGCACAAGCGGUGGAGCAUGUGGUUUAAUUCGAUGCAACGCGAAGAACCUUACCUACUCUUGACAUCCAGAGAAGCCAGCGGAGACGCAGGUGUGCCUUCGGGAGCUCUGAGACAGGUGCUGCAUGGCUGUCGUCAGCUCGUGUUGUGAAAUGUUGGGUUAAGUCCCGCAACGAGCGCAACCCUUAUCCUUGUUUGCCAGCACGUAAUGGUGGGAACUCCAGGGAGACUGCCGGUGAUAAACCGGAGGAAGGUGGGGACGACGUCAAGUCAUCAUGGCCCUUACGAGUAGGGCUACACACGUGCUACAAUGGCGCAUACAGAGGGCGGCCAACCAGCGAUGGUGAGCGAAUCCCAAAAAGUGCGUCGUAGUCCGGAUUGGAGUCUGCAACUCGACUCCAUGAAGUCGGAAUCGCUAGUAAUCGUAGAUCAGAAUGCUACGGUGAAUACGUUCCCGGGCCUUGUACACACCGCCCGUCACACCAUGGGAGUGGGCUGCAAAAGAAGUGGGUAGUUUAACCUUCGGGAGGACGCUCACCACUUUGUGGUUCAUGACUGGGGUGAAGUCGUAACAAGGUAGCGCUAGGGGAACCUGGCGCUGGAUCACCUCCUU
RNAcentral lists this ribosomal RNA (1549 nucleotides) under Vibrio hippocampi. RNAcentral's name for it is "bacterial SSU rRNA". It matches the Rfam family "Bacterial small subunit ribosomal RNA". Lineage: Bacteria; Pseudomonadati; Pseudomonadota; Gammaproteobacteria; Vibrionales; Vibrionaceae. The record is from RNAcentral.